CCUACGGGAGGCAGCAGUAGGGAAUCUUCCACAAUGGGCGAAAGCCUGAUGGAGCAACGCCGCGUGGGUGAAGAAGGUCUUCGGAUCGUAAAACCCUGUUGUUAGAGAAGAAAGUGCGUGAGAGUAACUGUUCACGUUUCGACGGUAUCUAACCAGAAAGCCACGGCUAACUACGUGCCAGCAGCCGCGGUAACACGUAGGUGGCAAGCGUUAUCCGGAUUUAUGGGGCGUAAAGGGAACGCAGGCGGUCUUUUAAGUCUGAUGUGAAAGCCUUCGGCUUAACCGGAGUAGUGCAUUGGAAACUGGGAGACUUGAGUGCAUAAGAGGAGAGUGUAACUCCAUGUGUAGCGGUGAAAUGCGUAGAUAUAUGGAAGAACACCAGUGGCGAAAGCGGCUCUCUGGUCUGUAACUGACGCUGAGGUUCGAAAGCGUGGGUAGCAAACAGGAUUAGAUACCCCUGUAGUC
This 465-nucleotide ribosomal RNA is filed under the name uncultured bacterium. Its description in RNAcentral is "partial 16S ribosomal RNA". It matches the Rfam family "Bacterial small subunit ribosomal RNA", at positions 338 to 795 of the family's 1533-position model. The record is from RNAcentral.